RNAcentral lists this ribosomal RNA (253 nucleotides) under uncultured bacterium. RNAcentral describes it as "partial 16S ribosomal RNA". It matches the Rfam family "Bacterial small subunit ribosomal RNA", at positions 524 to 776 of the family's 1533-position model. The record is from RNAcentral.
UACAGAGGGGGCAAGCGUUGUUCGGAAUUACUGGGCGUAAAGGGCGCGUAGGCGGCCACCUAAGUCAGACGUGAAAUCCCUCGGCUCAACCGGGGAACUGCGUCUGAGACUGGGCGGCUUGAAUCCGGGAGAGGGAUGUGGAAUUCCAGGUGUAGCGGUGAAAUGCGUAGAUAUCUGGAGGAACACCGGUGGCGAAGGCGGCAUCCUGGACCGGUAUUGACGCUGAGGCGCGAAAGCCAGGGGAGCAAACGGG